UACGUAGGCAGCGAGCGUUGUUCGGAGUUACUGGGCGUAAAGGGUGUGUAGGCGGUUGUUUAAGUUUGGUGUGAAAUCUCCCGGCUCAACUGGGAGGGUGCGCCGAAUACUGAAUGACUUGGAGUGCGGGAGAGGUGAGUGGAAUUCCUAGUGUAGCGGUGAAAUGCGCAGAUAUUAGGAGGAACACCGGUGGCGAAGGCGCCGCUCUGGGCCGAAACUGACGCUGAGGAGCGAAAGCAUGGGUAGCAAACAGG
Molecule: ribosomal RNA, 254 nt
Filed under: uncultured bacterium
Lineage: Bacteria
Description: partial 16S ribosomal RNA
Rfam family: Bacterial small subunit ribosomal RNA
Source: RNAcentral